GGCCCUGUGGUGUAAUGGUAGCAUGUCUGACUGCAGAUCAGAACGGUGUGCGUGCGCAAAACACAUCAGGGUUAACACCA
Merluccius polli (Benguela hake) is the source of this 80-nucleotide non-coding RNA. The record is from the annotation of a GenBank genome assembly. NCBI's taxonomy places the organism in Eukaryota, Metazoa, Chordata, Actinopteri, Gadiformes, Merlucciidae.